Molecule: ribosomal RNA, 495 nt
Filed under: uncultured bacterium
Lineage: Bacteria
Description: partial 16S ribosomal RNA
Rfam family: Bacterial small subunit ribosomal RNA
Source: RNAcentral
GACGAACGCUGGCGGCGUGCCUAAUACAUGCAAGUAGAACGCUGAAGGAGGAGCUUGCUUCUCUGGAUGAGUUGCGAACGGGUGAGUAACGCGUAGGUAACCUGCCUGGUAGCGGGGGAUAACUAUUGGAAACGAUAGCUAAUACCGCAUAAUAUUGACUAUUGCAUGAUAGUCAGUUGAAAGGUGCAACUGCACCACUACCAGAUGGACCUGCGUUGUAUUAGCUAGUUGGUGGGGUAACGGCUCACCAAGGCGACGAUACAUAGCCGACCUGAGAGGGUGAUCGGCCACACUGGGACUGGGACACGGCCCAGACUCCUACGGGAGGCAGCAGUAGGGAAUCUUCGGCAAGGGACGGGAGUCUGACCGAGCAACGCCGCGUGAGUGAAGAAGGUUUUCGGAUCGUAAAGCUCUGUUGUAAGAGAAGAACGAGUGUGAGAGUGGAAAGCUCACACUGUGACGGUAUCUUACCAGAAAGGGACGGCUAACUACGUG